UGCNCANNGUUAAUCGACGCAGGGUUAGUCGGUUCCUAAGGCGAGGCUGAAAAGCGUAGUCGAUGGGAAACAGGUUAAUAUUCCUGUACUUCUGGUUACUGCGAUGGAGGACGGAGAAGGCUAGGCCAGCUUGGCGUUGGUUGUCCAAGUUUAAGGUGAUAGGCUGAAAUCUUAGGUAAAUCCGGGGUUUCAAGGCCGAGAGCUGAUGACGAGUCGUCUUUUAGAUGACGAAGUGGUUGAUGCCAUGCUUCAAGAAAAGCUUCUAAGCUUCAGGUAACCAGGAACCGUACCCCAAACCGACACAGGUGGUCGGGUAGAGAAUACCAAGGCGCUUGAGAGAACUCGGGUGAAGGAACUAGGCAAAAUGGCACCGUAACUUCGGGAGAAGGUGCGCCGGCUAGGUGAAGGAUUUACUCCGUAAGCUCUGGCUGGUCGAAGAUACCAGGCCGCUGCGACUGUUUAUUAAAAACACAGCACUCUGCAACACGAAAGUGGACGUAUAGGGUGUGACGCCUGCCCGGUGCCGGAAGGUUAAUUGAUGGGGUUAGCGCAAGCGAAGCUCUUGAUCGAAGCCCCGGUAAACGGCGGCCGUAACAAUAACGGUCCUAAGGUAGCGAAAUUCCUUGUCGGGUAAGUUCCGACCUGCACGAAUGGCGUAACGAUGGCGCUGUCUCCACCCGAGACUCAGUGAAAUUGAAAUCGCUGUGAAGAUGCAGUGUAUCCGCGGCUAGACGGAAAGACCCCGUGAACCUUUACUGUAGCUUUGCACUGGACUUUGAGCCUGCUUGUGCAGGAUAGGUGGGAGGCUUUGAAGCGUGGACGCCAGUUCGCGUGGAGCCAUCCUUGAAAUACCACCCUGGCAUGCUUGAGGUUCAACUCUGGUCCGUAACCCGGAUCGAGGACAGUGUAUGGUGGGCAGUUUGACUGGGGCGGUCUCCUCCUAAAGAGUAACGGAGGAGUACGAAGGUGCGCUCAGACCGGUCGGAAAUCGGUCGCAGAGUAUAAAGGCAAAAGCGCGCCUGACUGCGACAGACACGUCGAGCAGGUACGAAAGCAGGUCUUAGUGAUCCGGUGGUUCUGUAUGGAAGGGCCAUCGCUCAACGGAUAAAAGGUACUCCGGGGAUAACAGGCUGAUACCGCCCAAGAGUUCAUAUCGACGGCGGUGUUUGGCACCUCGAUGUCGGCUCAUCACACCUGGGGCUGAAGCCGGUCCCAAGGGUAUGGCUGUUCGCCAUUUAAAGUGGUACGCGAGCUGGGUUUAGAACGUCGUGAGACAGUUCGGUCCCUAUCUGCCGUGGACGUUUGAGAUUUGAGAGGGCUGCUCCUAGUACGAGAGGACCGGAGUGGACGAACCUCUGGUGUUCCGGUUGUCACGCCAGUGGCAUUGCCGGGUAACUAUGUUCGGAAAAGAUAACCGCUGAAAGCAUCUAAGCGGGAAACUUGCCUCAAGAUGAGAUCUCACUGGGAACUUGAUUCCUGAAGGGCCGUCGAAGACUACGACGUUGAAGGCUGGGUGUGUAAGCGUUGUGAGGCGUUGAGCUAACCAGUACUAAUUGCCCGU
RNAcentral lists this ribosomal RNA (1561 nucleotides) under metagenome. RNAcentral describes it as "bacterial LSU rRNA". It matches the Rfam family "Bacterial large subunit ribosomal RNA", at positions 1356 to 2912 of the family's 2925-position model. The record is from RNAcentral.